GACGAACGCUGGCGGCGCGCUUAACACAUGCAAGUCGAACGGAAAGGCCUGCUUUCCCUUGUGGAUUGCGGGUACUCGAGUGUCGAACGGGUGAGUAACACGUGAGUGAUCUGCCCCCAACUUGUGUAUAAGCCUGGGAAACUGGGUCUAAUUCCCGAUAGGACUGCAGGGUGGUGCCUGUGGUUGAAAACGAUUGUCUAGUGGUUGGGGAUGAGCUCGCGGCCUAUGAGCUAGUGGGUGGGGUAAUGGCCUACCAAGGCGGCGACGGGUAGCCGGCCCGGGGGAGUGGGCGGGCGCAUUGGAACUGCGAUACGGCCCAGGAUCCUACGGGCGGAAGCCGUGGGGAAUCAUGAGUGAUGGACGGAAGACUAAUGCCGGGACGCCGCGUGGGCGAUGACGGCCGUCGGGUUGUAAACUCCUUUUGGCAGCUAGGAAGCGACCUGGUUGGAGGGGUGGUGACGGUAGUGGUAGAAGAAGCACCGGCUAACUACGUG
RNAcentral lists this ribosomal RNA (494 nucleotides) under uncultured bacterium. Its description in RNAcentral is "partial 16S ribosomal RNA". It matches the Rfam family "Bacterial small subunit ribosomal RNA", at positions 28 to 507 of the family's 1533-position model. The record is from RNAcentral.